AUACUCCUGACUGACCGAUAGUGAACCAGUACCGUGAGGGAAAGGCGAAAAGAACCCCGGCGAGGGGAGUGAAAAAGAACCUGAAACCGUGUACGUACAAGCAGUGGGAGCACCCUUUUGGGUGUGACUGCGUACCUUUUGUAUAAUGGGUCAGCGACUUAUAUUCUGUAGCAAGGUUAACCGAAUAGGGGAGCCGGAGGGAAACCGAGUCUUAAUUGGGCGUUAAGUUGCAGGGUAUAGACCCGAAACCCGGUGAUCUAGCCAUGGGCAGGUUGAAGGUUGGGUAACACUAACUGGAGGACCGAACCGACUAAUGUUGAAAAAUUAGCGGAUGACCUGUGGCUGGGGGUGAAAGGCCAAUCAAACCGGGAGAUAGCUGGUUCUCCCCGAAAGCUAUUUAGGUAGCGCCUCGUGAAUUCAUCUCCGGGGGUAGAGCACUGUUUCGGCUAGGGGGCCAUCCCGGCUUACCAACCCGAUGCAAACUGCGAAUACCGGAGAAUGUUAUCACGGGAGACACACGGCGGGUGCUAACGUCCGUCGUGAAGAGGGAAACAACCCAGACCGCCAGCUAAGGUCCCAAAGUCAUGGUUAAGUGGGAAACGAUGUGGGAAGGCACAGACAGCCAGGAUGUUGGCUUAGAAGCAGCCAUCAUUUAAAGAAAGCGUAAUAGCUCACUGGUCGAGUCGGCCUGCGCGGAAGAUGUAACGGGGCUAAACCAUGCACCGAAGCUGCGGCAGCGACGUUUAUGCGUUGUUGGGUAGGGGAGCGUUCUGUAAGCCUGCGAAGGUGGCCUGUGAGGGUUGCUGGAGGUAUCAGAAGUGCGAAUGCUGACAUAAGUAACGAUAAAGCGGGUGAAAAGCCCGCUCGCCGGAA
Molecule: ribosomal RNA, 873 nt
Filed under: Salmonella enterica subsp. enterica serovar Bareilly
Lineage: Bacteria; Pseudomonadati; Pseudomonadota; Gammaproteobacteria; Enterobacterales; Enterobacteriaceae
Description: partial 23S ribosomal RNA
Rfam family: Bacterial large subunit ribosomal RNA
Source: RNAcentral